GAUGAACGCUAGCGACAGGCUUAACACAUGCAAGUCGAGGGGCAGCAUAAAAGUAGCAAUACUUUGGUGGCGACCGGCGCACGGGUGAGUAACGCGUAUGCAACCUACCUAUCAGAGGGGAAUAACCCGGCGAAAGUCGGACUAAUACCGCAUAAAACAGGGGCACCGCAUGGUGAUAUUUGUUAAAGAAAUUCGCUGAUAGAUGGGCAUGCGUUCCAUUAGGUAGUUGGUGAGGUAACGGCUCACCAAGCCGACGAUGGAUAGGGGAACUGAGAGGUUGGUCCCCCACACUGGUACUGAGACACGGACCAGACUCCUACGGGAGGCAGCAGUGAGGAAUAUUGGUCAAUGGGCGGGAGCCUGAACCAGCCAAGUCGCGUGAAGGAAGAAGGAUCUAUGGUUCGUAAACUUCUUUUGCAGGGGAAUAAAGUGCAGGACGUGUCCUGUUUUGUAUGUACCCUGAGAAUAAGGAUCGGCUAACUCCGUGCCAGCAGCCGCGGUAAUACGGAGGAUCCGAGCGUUAUCCGGAUUUAUUGGGUUUAAAGGGUGCGUAGGUGGUUUGAUAAGUCAGCGGUGAAAGUUUGCAGCUUAACUGUAAAAAUGCCGUUGAAACUGUCGGACUUGAGUGUAAAUGAGGUAGGCGGAAUGCGUGGUGUAGCGGUGAAAUGCAUAGAUAUCACGCAGAACUCCGAUUGCGAAGGCAGCUUACUAAGCUACAACUGACACUGAAGCACGAAAGCGUGGGGAUCAAACAGGAUUAGAUACCCUGGUAGUCCACGCAGUAAACGAUGAUUACUAGCUGUUUGCGAUACACAGUAAGCGGCACAGCGAAAGCGUUAAGUAAUCCACCUGGGGAGUACGCCGGCAACGGUGAAACUCAAAGGAGUUGACGGGGGCCCGCACAAGCGGAGGAACAUGUGGUUUAAUUCGAUGAUACGCGAGGAACCUUACCCGGGUUUGAACGUAGGGAGACAGGAGUGGAAACAUUCUUUUCAGCAAUGACUGCCUACGAGGUGCUGCAUGGUUGUCGUCAGCUCGUGCCGUGAGGUGUCGGCUUAAGUGCCAUAACGAGCGCAACCCUUAUUUCCAGUUACUAACAGG
RNAcentral lists this ribosomal RNA (1101 nucleotides) under uncultured bacterium. RNAcentral describes it as "bacterial SSU rRNA". It matches the Rfam family "Bacterial small subunit ribosomal RNA", at positions 28 to 1125 of the family's 1533-position model. The record is from RNAcentral.